This 1962-nucleotide ribosomal RNA is filed under the name Triticum aestivum (bread wheat). RNAcentral describes it as "partial small subunit ribosomal RNA". Lineage: Eukaryota; Viridiplantae; Streptophyta; Magnoliopsida; Poales; Poaceae. The record is from RNAcentral.
AUGGCGCUCCGCAGGCAGCGGACGUUGAGGUUUGAUGAGGAGAUGGGGAUGCCGCCGCCACCAAUUCAACAGGAACAGGCAGCAUUACCUGCUAGUAUUGCUGUCGCGAGCUCAGGGGACAUACCAAUUCAACAGAAACAGGCAGCAUUCCCUGCUAUUAAACUUGGUGUCGCGAGCUCAGGGAACAACAAGAUUUUUGAUCCAUCAAGUGGCUUCAUCUUGACAUGGAACUGCAUUUUCCUUUUUUCAUGCUUGCUUGCUCUAUUCGUAGACCCCCUGUACUUCUACGUGCCAAAAAUCGUCUACGGCACCCCCUAUUCAUGUGUCGGGACAGACAGGCAUUUAACCAUCAUCGUUACAUUAUUACGAUCAAUUACCGAUCUUUUAUAUGCGAUUCACAUCAUACUAAAGUUCAGAACUGCAAUUUUUAAGAAGAGCUCAACCUUGGGGAUUUCUAAAGGAGGAUAUUUCGUCAGAGACCCUAGAGAGAUUGCAUGGAAAUAUUUGAGAUCUGACUUUGCAAUUGAUGUGGUGGCUGCACUGCCUUUGCCACAGAUCAUAGUCUGGUAUUUGAUACCAGCUAUCAAAUAUUCCAACGCUGAGCCCAGCGAUAACAUUCUGGUGCUUAUAGUUCUUGCUCAGUAUCUUCCAAGACUAUAUCUCAUAUUCCCUUUAACUUAUGAAAUUAUCAAAGCUACUGAAGUUGUUGCAAAGACUGCCUGGCAAGGGGCUGUAUACAGCCUGUUGCUUUACAUGAUAACUAGUCAUGUACUAGGUGCAGUAUGGUACUUGCUAUCCGUUGAUCGCCAAACAGCCUGCUGGAAAAUGAGUUGCAGGAAUGAAACUGGGUGUGAUAUUAGGUACCUAGAUUGUGAUAUGGCACCAAAUCAGAAAUGGGCUAGUACGACUGAUAUCUUCCAUAGCUGCAAUGCUAGUGAUACCAGCAUCACAUUCGACUAUGGCAUGUUCCUGCCUGCACUGUCAAAUCUAGUGCCUGCUCAGGGUUUCUUGAUAAAGCUCUUCUAUUCCCUUUGGUGGGGUUUACAGAAUCUAAGUUGCUAUGGCCAGACUAUUUCUGUUAGCACCUACAUUGGUGAGACACUGUUCGGUAUAUUCUUGGCAGUAUUCAGUCUUGCCUUGGAAUCAUCCGGCCUGGUCUUGUGUGUGUAUUUGAUUGGAAAUGUGCAGACCUCCCUCCAAUCUAUCACUGUGAGGGAGGAUGAGUGGAGAUUAAAGCAAAGAGAUACGGAGGAGUGGAUGACAUACCGUCAACUUCCUGGUGAACUGCGGGAAAGAGUUAGAAAAUUUAUUCAGUACAAGUGGCUUUUAACUCGAGGUGUGGAUGAAGAGUAUAUAUUUCAGGUUCUACCAGAGUAUCUGCGACGUGAAAUAAGACGCCACCUUUGCUUGGAUCUUGUUCGCCGGGUUCCGUUUUUCUGCCAGAUGGAUGACCAACUUCUAGAUGCCAUCUUUGCGCGUCUUGUAUCAUCACCGUGCACAAAGAGCACAUACAUUAUCCGUGAGGGUGAUCCGGUGACUGAGAUGCUCUUCAUCAUCCGUGGGAAACUGGAAAGGGCCACAACAGAUGGUGGUCGCACAGGCUUCUUCAAUUCAGUUCUCCUGAAAUCUGGUGAUUGCUGCGGCGAGGAACUUCUUGGAUGGACUUUUAUCCCGGAACCUACCAGUUUGCCAACAGCCACCUGCACAGUGAAGGCGCUCACAGACGUGGAGGCCUUUUCACUUCAGGCUGAGGAUCUCAGGUUCGUGGCCAGCCAAUUCGGGCGGUGGCAUAGCAAGAAGCUGCAGCACACUUUCCGCUACUACUCACCCCAUUGGAGAACAUGGAGUGCGUGCUUCAUCCAAGCUGCUUUGCGGCGGUACAUGAGGAGAAAGAUGGAGAAGGGCCUGAGAUCAGAAGACUCGAAUGGUGAAGAAGGGCCUCCACGGAAGAAUAAUCUCUAA